This 235-nucleotide ribosomal RNA is filed under the name Aurantiochytrium limacinum. Its description in RNAcentral is "partial Eukaryotic large subunit ribosomal RNA". It matches the Rfam family "Eukaryotic large subunit ribosomal RNA", at positions 2397 to 2636 of the family's 3401-position model. The record is from RNAcentral. Lineage: Eukaryota; Bigyra; Thraustochytrida; Thraustochytriidae.
GCGGGGAAAGAAGACCCUGUUGAGCUUGACUCUAGUUUGACAUUGUGAAAAGACAUAGAGGGUGUAGAAUAAGUGGGAGCUCCGGCGCCAGUGAAAUACCACUACCUUUAUCGUUUUUUUACUUAUUCAAUAAAGCGGAACUGGGUGUCAAAGCCCAACUUCUAGCAUUAAGGUCCUUCGCGGGCUGAUCCGGGUUGAUGACAUUGUCAGGUGGGGAGUUUGGCUGGGGCGGCAC